Long non-coding RNA from Mugil cephalus (flathead mullet), 1794 nucleotides. RefSeq lists it as uncharacterized. The record is from RefSeq and is a predicted model, not a curated record. The transcript is spliced from 2 exons. NCBI's taxonomy places the organism in Eukaryota, Metazoa, Chordata, Actinopteri, Mugiliformes, Mugilidae.
UCCAACGCAUAUUGUGCAUAACUAUUUUAACUGUGACGAAUAUAAACACCUAGUGCCGAAACGAGUGUAAAAAGUGGCACAAAUGUCUAAAAUAACGCACUAAAUUGUCUCGCCAGGAUCCGAAUACCCCUGCAUUUGGUACGGUCCACAGUCACAGGACGUCGAGCCUGCGACGUCACCGGUUCCUUAAACCCAGCCCCCGAAAUUCUCAGAACUAAUUUAUAUUCCAUGACUUCAGCAAAUGUGUCGCUCCCUGCGUCUCGUCGCAUUUAACACACAGUCCGUACAUGCACAGCACACAGACCGACCUCUUAAUUAGGCCCAUGCGGACAGGUCGAUGUGACAGGCUGCUGCUGCUGCUGCUUCUUCUUAACCACAAUUCAUUUUUAGCCAGAUUCUCCUGCAGGUCAAAGUAGCUGUCUGCAUCUAAUGCCAACUGCUGAUACUGGUCUGCAGGGCUGGUUUAACAGGAACUACACAGCUGCAGGCCGGUGUUCAACAAGAGCCAUGCACAAAGCAGCAACAGUGCACUCAAGGCAUCCUCCACUUCAGCUCUUGGUCUCUGUUGCUUCUGCGUUGGAAAAAUGCUCAAAUGUGAAUGUAAUCCCGGGCACAGAGGAUUGUUAAAGUUCUUAUUAAACACGCACUAAUUCUUUUUUUUUUUUUUUUUUUAAAUUAUCUCCCACCCACUGCUGCAGAAAUAUAAAACUAACAAUGCGGAAAGAGCAGCACUAGAUGAGAUUUUCACGACAGGAAUCUGGCUUUAGUCUUCAUGUUUCGGCGAAGAUUGCGACCGCCUCCAUUCGUGUACAGGUGUAUUUUCAUGUCAGCUUUUUUUUUUUUGUGGUGUUCCUCCAGCCGAAGCAGUAAAUAGAUUUAAAUCCAACAUGGAAACAUGGCAUUGGUGAGGAUGAAAGCAACCCCACCAAGCCCCAGAAGUCAAAAAAAAAAAAAAGGAAAAAAAAGAAAAACACCUCAAACUCUGGGCACCGACAUGGAUUCAAGAGAUGAUAAUUCCAGCAUUUUUAUUUCAAUAAAAUAUCAAGGAAGAUAUAUAUGCAUAAUGUAUUAAAUGCACAUGCACAUUUAAAUUGUUAAUUUGCACACAAAGAAAGUAUCAUGUCUGUUUCAUUUUCUUUCUCUCUUUUUCCCCACUGUCUGAAUAAUUUGUGCAAGUUUCACUUAAAAUGCAUCUCUUUUGAUUUAAUUUUCUCCUGAAACUGACGAUGUCUCAACAGCGCCUACACCCUUAUUACAGUUAAUACAUAAAGCCAGACGCAGCUUUCUUCCUCUAUAUUCUGGAAAAAAAAAAAAAAAAAAAACUCCCACGGUUUAUAUUUGCUAGAAACAAAUCAAGUCAUAUUACCAUCAGGCCUUAUUCACCCACAUUUGUGCAAGUUUGAGAUAUCUUUUGCAGCGAAAGGUAUUUUUUUUUUAUUGUAAUUGGGUCUCACUAAACACUUCACUCUGUGCUUUCAUUAAAAGCAUCUCUACAGCCCAGGAAAUGCCAGGUGGAAGUUGAGAUUGUGACAUCUCCUGUGCUCGACACAUUCACAUAAUUGUUAUCUGUCCUACAUCACGCAGGCAGCCACUUCUGAUAUCUGCUGCACUUUGAAACAUGUUGCGCUUUGCAUGCACGGGACCACAAGCAACUCUUUGUAUCACAUUUGAAUUGGUAACAGAACAUCAACCGACUCAAUUUUCCAACCAGAGCGUGGAUCGCAAUUGUGUAUUAACGGUCUCUGAACUGUAAAAUAAAAACAUUAAAAAUAAAGGAUCUGGCUUUUACAAAGA